AAAGAAGAAGAAAAAGAAGAAGAGGCAAUGAUAGCGGAAUCCCCCUUUUGGUGAACCAAAGAAGUUCUUAUUUGAAAGUUUUUUUUUUCAUUUUACUUU
RNAcentral lists this non-coding RNA (99 nucleotides) under Chloropicon laureae. Lineage: Eukaryota; Viridiplantae; Chlorophyta; Chloropicophyceae; Chloropicales; Chloropicaceae. The record is from RNAcentral.